CAAUGUAUUACCCUAACACGUAAAUGAUCUUAAAAAUGACAGUUUCAGCAUUUUUUGGGUAAAGCUUACAUGAAAUGCAUUCAAAACCCUAUGGUACUGAAUUGAUAUCUAAAUCUUCCAACUUUUGAGGAUCAUAAAUAAAGUGCAUGGAUCAUAACAUUCUAUAGACUAUACAUCCUAUCCAUGAACAUUUCCAGAAAUUUAUCAAUGAAAAAUAUGCUCAGACAUUCAAGUUACAAAAUUAUGUUAUUCUUAUCAAGAAAAAGCAUAACGUGUGCAAGCUGCAGGAAUCGAAUAUGUGUUCUAUAA
This 309-nucleotide long non-coding RNA is filed under the name Mytilus galloprovincialis (Mediterranean mussel). Lineage: Eukaryota; Metazoa; Mollusca; Bivalvia; Mytilida; Mytilidae. The record is from RNAcentral.